AUUUUUUUUUUUUUUUUUUUGUUUAAAAUGACUUUUGUACUUUUGUAAAUGUUUUUGUUGUUUUUGUAUUUGGUGUCAAAUAAAUAAAACAAUUUUAUGGAAUAGAAGACAGACACUGGUGUUAUUUGUUGUAUGAGAGCAUUCAUCACGUUUCACCUAAAAUAAAGAACUAAAGAGCACAGAUGAAGAAAACACACAAAAAAGACUUGUUUAUUGGAUCCAUUAUUGGAACUUUCAACUUGCGUUUGGAUACCGUAAAAAAUGUAAACAAACUAUCAGAGAUGGCACAUGCCUUAUAAUUAAUAAAUAGUACACUUGAAUUUUAUAAAACGGUAUUUUUUACUUCAUAAUUUAUACAUGUGAUUUCAGCAGAUUUUUAAUAUGUAUCACUUUGAAAUACUUCUACAGCGUUGUGAAAUAAAGAAAAUUUUUUAAAAAAUAA
RNAcentral lists this long non-coding RNA (442 nucleotides) under Lucilia cuprina (Australian sheep blowfly). RNAcentral describes it as "uncharacterized LOC124420042, transcript variant X1". Lineage: Eukaryota; Metazoa; Arthropoda; Insecta; Diptera; Calliphoridae. The record is from RNAcentral.